Molecule: long non-coding RNA, 1314 nt
Organism: Alexandromys fortis (reed vole)
Lineage: Eukaryota; Metazoa; Chordata; Mammalia; Rodentia; Cricetidae
Exons: 2
Source: RefSeq, a predicted model, not a curated record
AUUCCUCUGAAUGAAUAAAUAAAGGGGAAUCUGUAGUGUAGAUAGAGCAGGAAAUUUAUAGAAUAAGAAUGAAUGUAACUUGGUGUAAUGUAAAAGCAUUUCUUCUUGUGUGGGGUAUGGAAAAUUACUAAGGUGAAAUAUUGGGAGAGCAUUUGCCCGUUUGAAGGCUGCCACACCCAUCUGGCCCUGCCAGAUGUGGGGGGCUGCACCCAGCAACCGUGGUAACGAAAUAAUCUUGCCACACAAGAGGUUCCCCCACCCUUCUGUGGCCAGUCGAUACUGAUAACCUAGGACACCUGGUUAUCGGAAGGAUCAAACGAGGGGCAAUUUUGAACUGGCAUAAAAGAGGUGGCUGAAGCAGGGCAGUUAUCUCACUUCUCACAAUGGCUCUGGCACCAGGCCUCCGUGGAAAGAGAGAUCCUCCUAGCCUGCCUCCCGAAAAGCAGCAAUACUGAAUGCCUUGCCUAAACAUUUAAUGCUCUGUCUCCCGAGCACAGAGUUUUGUCUCCCGAAAACAGACAUUUAACACCUUGCAUCCCGAAUGCAAAUCCUCAUUCCAUGAGAGUGGACAUUGAAGGUCUGUCUCCCGAGAACAGACUAGAUACUCUGCCUUUCAGAAUGCUUUGCCAUCCCGAAAGCAAAGCUUUGUUUUCUGAGCAGACAGAACGCUUUGCCAUCCCGAGAGCAAAGCUUCAUCUUCGAGAGUGGAGAACUAAAAGCCUUGUCUCCCGAGACUCGGUCGCCCAAAAGCCGAGUCCAAGGCACUACCAGAUACCAGCCUGGAACAUCAGGACCUUAUCUCCCGAGUGCAGACUACAGGGUCAAGAGUCGAUCUUCGCUACCCAGCCCCCAGUGCGGACAAGAGCCCAGCCUGAAAAAAUUCAAAAAAGCCCUUUUUAAGCCAGGGAAUAUCAGGUCGUAUGAUGCUAUUUCAUGUGUGUAUAAGAUGUUAAGAGAAGAGCAUAGAUGUGUUAAUACAUAUGUUAAUGUGUGAAAUGUUAAGAGAUAUUUUAUGGAUAAUUGAUCAGAUUAGGAAAUAAUGGAUAAGCUAAGGUUAAGGAGUGUUUUAUAGAUAAUUAAUGGAUAAGUUGUAUUAAGGUUAUAGAUAAGUAAUGGCUGAGUUGUAUUAAGGUUAAGAUAAGUUAGAUUAAGGUUAUGAAUUGGUUUUAUGUAUUAGGUUUAGUAGGAUUAAUAAUUGUGAUAUUGAAUUGCCUGUGUGUUGCCCAUUAUCAAUCCCCCAUGCCUACUGAGAUUGUAACCCCCAUUGAUGCAUUGGAUAUUGAAGUUGCUAGUAAAGAAUCAUCAUAAAAUCAA